This 73-nucleotide transfer RNA is filed under the name Ailuropoda melanoleuca (giant panda). It matches the Rfam family "tRNA". Rfam says of the family: Transfer RNA (tRNA) molecules are approximately 80 nucleotides in length. Their secondary structure includes four short double-helical elements and three loops (D, anti-codon, and T loops). Further hydrogen bonds mediate the characteristic L-shaped molecular structure. tRNAs have two regions of fundamental functional importance: the anti-codon, which is responsible for specific mRNA codon recognition, and the 3' end, to which the tRNAs corresponding amino acid is attached (by aminoacyl-tRNA synthetases). tRNAs cope with the degeneracy of the genetic code in two manners: having more than one tRNA (with a specific anti-codon) for a particular amino acid; and 'wobble' base-pairing, i.e. permitting non-standard base-pairing at the 3rd anti-codon position. Lineage: Eukaryota; Metazoa; Chordata; Mammalia; Carnivora; Ursidae. The record is from Rfam by way of RNAcentral.
GCCUGGCUGGCUCAGUGGGUAGAGCAUGCAACUCUUGAUCUCAGGGUCAUGAGUUCAAGCCUCAUGUUGGGCG